RNAcentral lists this small RNA (20 nucleotides) under Arabidopsis thaliana (thale cress). Its description in RNAcentral is "ATSL234580". The record is from RNAcentral. Lineage: Eukaryota; Viridiplantae; Streptophyta; Magnoliopsida; Brassicales; Brassicaceae.
UUUUUUUCAUACAUUUUUUC